UCUGUGGAGGAGGGCAGGGGGCUGCGGGAGGAGGAAAAGAAAGAGGCUCCCAAGCCAUAUUACCUCUCGGCCUGGGCCUUCCCAACACCCUCCAGGGGCUGCUGUCCCCAGAGCCUGCUCAUGUUGCCCUCACAGCCACUUACCUGCCAAUGUCUUGCCACUAGAAACCACUGCCUUCUACCUAAGCUCUGGUCCAGAGGUCAGCAGCAUCUAGAUCCUGAAGUGCAGAAUCGCAGGCCCCACCGGACCUCCUAGAUCCAAAUCUUCAUUGGCAGAGAUGCCCCAGGGCGGGCAGGUGGAUCAGGGGAUCCUGGAGCUGCAUGCAGAGAGGGCAAACACAGACCUUGGACUCCUCUGAUCUUGGACUGUGAAGCUAUGAAGCUAACAUUUAUUCAGCCGCCCUCUUGGGCCAGGAUGAUCCCUUUAAUCCAAGCAGCACCCCUGGGUAAUAGAAACCUAUCAGCAUCCCUGUGUUGGCUAAUUAGGAUAUGUAAAUAGAGUCAGGAUUCAAAGCUGAGUUGAUUUGAUUCCAAAGCCCUCGGUCUUCCUUCCCUGUUGCUGGCACUCAGAAGAUGGACAAAUGAGGUCAGGGUGAGCUUUUGGAUGUAUAACUGAGAGAGUAAGAUAUCCACCAGCGACAUGGUUGAAAGACAAAGAAAGUAACCCCAUUAGUAAAUAAUAAGAACAUGCAUUUCUUCAUGGAACCUCUUCACAACUACCUGUCACAUUUGGGUACCACCUUGCAAUGUCCAAAAGCUAUCCCUGUGCACCGCCUCACUGAUUGCCCCAGCAAAACCAUGGCAGAGACACAGCAGGGAGAAUGUGCAUCCCCACUUGACAAAGAAUGUGAGAUGUGGAGAGGCUAAAUGACUUGCCCAUGGCCCCUUGCAAGGCUCUCUCUUGCCCAGGGAGAGAGUUUGUUUACCUACCAACCUUAUUCCCUCAAGGAUUUAAAAAUACAUCAUAAAAAUAGAAAAAUUGCUAUGAAUAUAAUGUUAAUCAAGAUAAGGGGAAAUAAAAUUGGAAUAUCUUCCCUUCAGUUCCUGGUA
Molecule: long non-coding RNA, 1049 nt
Organism: Canis lupus familiaris (dog)
Lineage: Eukaryota; Metazoa; Chordata; Mammalia; Carnivora; Canidae
Exons: 2
Source: RefSeq, a predicted model, not a curated record